Molecule: ribosomal RNA, 401 nt
Filed under: uncultured bacterium
Lineage: Bacteria
Description: bacterial SSU rRNA
Rfam family: Bacterial small subunit ribosomal RNA
Source: RNAcentral
UCGGGAAUUUGGGCAAUGGGCGAAAGCCUGACCCAGCAACGCCGCGUGAGGGAUGAAGUAUUUCGGUAUGUAAACCUCGAAAGAAUGGGAAGAAUAAAUGACGGUACCAUUUAUAAGCUCCGGCUAACUACGUGCCAGCAGCCGCGGUAAUACGUAGGGAGCAAGCGUUGUUCCGAUUUACUGGGCGUAAAGGGCGCGUAGGCGGCGCGGUAAGUCACUUGUGAAAUCUCUGAGCUUAACUCAGAACGGCCAAGUGAUACUGCUGUGCUAGAGUGCGGAAGAGGCAACCGGAAUUCUUGGUGUAGCGUUGAAAUGCGUAGAUAUCAAGAGGAACACCUGAGGCGAAGGCGGGUUGCUGGGCCGACACCGACGCUGGUGCGCGAAAGCCAGGGGAGCAAACG